Molecule: ribosomal RNA, 347 nt
Filed under: uncultured eukaryote
Lineage: Eukaryota
Description: SSU rRNA
Rfam family: Eukaryotic small subunit ribosomal RNA
Source: RNAcentral
AUAGCGUAUAUUAAAGUUGUUGCAGUUAAAAAGCUCGUAGUUGAACUUCAGACCUGGCUGGGCGGUCCGCUUAACGGCGUGUACUGUUCGGCUGGGCCUUACCUCUUGGUGAGCCGGCGUGCCCUUUAUUGGUGUGCGUCGGGGAACCAGGACUUUUACCUUGAGAAAAUUAGAGUGUUCAAAGCAGGCCUAUGCCCGAAUACAUUAGCAUGGAAUAAUAAAAUAGGACGUGCGGUUCUAUUUUGUUGGUUUCUAGAGUCGCCGUAAUGAUUAAUAGGGAUAGUUGGGGGCAUUGGUAUUGAGUCGCUAGAGGUGAAAUUCUUGGAUUGACUCAAGACCGACUAUUG